GGCGGACGGGUGAGUAAUGUAUAGUUAAUCUGCCCUUUAGAGGGGGAUAACAGUUGGAGACGACUGCUAAUACCCCAUACUCCUUUUAUCUUAAUGGUAAUUGGGAAACGUUUUUUCGCUAAAGGAUGAGACUAUAUGGUAUCAGGUAGUUGGUGGGGUAAGAGCCUACCAAGCCAAUGACGCCUAGCUGGUCUGAGAGGAUGAUCAGCCACACUGGAACUGAGACACGGUCCAG
This 235-nucleotide ribosomal RNA is filed under the name uncultured bacterium. RNAcentral's name for it is "partial 16S ribosomal RNA". It matches the Rfam family "Bacterial small subunit ribosomal RNA", at positions 97 to 334 of the family's 1533-position model. The record is from RNAcentral.